UUUGAACACCAACAACUUUCUCUGUACAUUAUUACAUAGUUUAAAAGGAGCUGAAGGCGAUUCAGCAAACACUUCCACUUUGCAUUUUUGUUGUUUUUAAACAUACUUACAAAAAGGUUUUUCUUCUUUAUAAGAGGAUAUAAAACAUAGCGACUGCUUAUCAGGAACAAGUAUCAGCUUAAGCAGAUAUACAGAGAGAGGUAUAUCUUAAGACACAGUGAUGUAUGAUAAAGGAAUAUGUGAACAUGGAGACUGCACUUCGGGGUGCUGGCAGCUGAUGCAGAACCACGUGGAAUUUACAGCAAUGUCACAGCUCAGGUAACCUGUGAAGUCAGUGCUUGAAUGCGACACCCUUUUUCAAAGCAUGACUGGUUUUGAAUGUUGUAUAAUGCUCUCAAGACUGGAUUUGGUUUGGAAAGCCCAUGCUUCUGUCAUCUCCCACUCCCCCUAUCCCCUCCCUCUAAUAUUCCUCAAGGGAAAAGGUGCCAGUUUCCUGUGCAGGGCUGGUUCUGAGCAGGACAGGGCGACACAGCCAGGCCUUGCGGCUGAGCAGUGUCCUCUGGGGCUGGGGAAUGGGGGUGGCUGCGAGCCCACACUCUCCACACUGGGCAGGGUGCUGUGAGUCCUGGAUCAGACCUUUGUGUGUCUCGUGUUGCACAUUGGUAUGGAUUUAAGUAACAGGAGAAGCCCACGAGCAUUCUCAGCGUUGGACGCAAUCUGGGGACUGCUCUCCCAGCACAGACUGUGGUAUCUCACUCAGGUCCACUGCGUCCCUUCUCCCCUUAGGAAUAUUCACAGCAGAACGCGUCCUGCGCCCUGCAGCGACCUGCGGGCUGGCUGCCAGGCCGGCGGACUCAGCAUGUUCUCACAGUGCCAUCAGUGCUUUACAAGCAGAAAACAAAACCAACCAGACUCAAAUGACAAUGCGGAGUGACACAGGACUCUUUGGAUGGCAGCAGGAUUUGCUUAAUCUGGUGCAAAAGGGGCUGGUGACUGUGCUGUAGUAUUGAUUGGCAGGGGGAAGGACCGGAGUCCCUCCGGUUAGUUGGCACUGCACUUUAGCCAUAAUCCCUGUCCAAAAGGAUGGUACUCAGAGUAUCGUUCAGUCCAUUUCAUCCCCCUUUACACAAAAUUUUCCUCUUUUUUUUUUUUUUUUUUUUCAAGAAUUGUUUGCUACAGAUUAACAAAACCCCAAAUCAUAACUCAAAAUCCUUGAGGUGGGCCAACCUCAGACCUGGAUCCCUGGCUGCUCCCCCUUCCCUCGGGUGCCCCAUGGGGAGGAGGCUGAAAUCAUAACCUGGGGCUGGAUCCAGGUUUGCCAGCUGGAGUCCACCUCUGCUGAACAGCAGUGAGAUACAGCCAAAUCUUGACCAAAUAAGCAGCACCAGAAGUAAAUUACUAUAUACAACCGUUAGUGAGAUAGAUACGUUACAGUAAACACUGAAAACAUUUACAAAAAAUAUUAAGACUUGUAUUAAGAUAAAAAUCUGAGUGUGUUUCAGUUUUGUUUACACGCUGACAGGUUUGCACGAGAACAGCCUCUUAUUUUAGAAAGCGCAAGAAUGAAAAAGAAAAUGGAGCAGAUCACAAAACAUUACGCAUAGUGGUUGCUUUACUGCGGUGCUGUGAGCACCUCCUGUAAUUAAUUGCCUCUGCUAUUGCUACGCCGGGCACCAGGGCUGGGGCUGCAGCUGGGUACCUGGCACUGCCACUCUCUCUCUCUCACACACACACACACACACAUAUAUAAAUGUACAGUUUAUAAAUAACAGAAACACAAACAGAAGUAACAGAACUGAGCUGAGCCUGGAUCUUAAAACCUAUCCCCAAACCUUGAUAUGGGAGGGUCGUACUUAGGUCCAGUUGUUGACACUUGCAGCAUAAGGAGACACAGGAACAAGGGGCUGGGGAAGCUCCACUGUAAAGAGAUCUGGUUCUGAUUGGAACUUUGUUUCAUUACUGGCUUAGGAAACUAAGCAGCUCCAGAAGGUUUUGGCACUGGAACUCGGAAGAUUCUAUUUUUUAGUAACUCACUGUGGAAGAUUGGAGCAGCCUGCUGUUGCAGCAGGACGGUGUGCUCAGUGCUGUGCACAUCUGAGGUUACCCAGGACUUUCUGACAGAUCUUAGGGGGGAAAAAAAAAACAGGGGGAUGGCGGUAUAAGAGCAGUGCCUUGGCUGGGGGGGGGCAAGCAGACUUACUGCACUUUGCUUCAGCACUAAGCAGCUGUGGUGUGGGUGGGUCUCUCUUCCAGCUCCCAGAGGGCACUGACUGCACCCACAUGGAAGCGCUGCCUGUGGGGCACUGCCCCGUGCCCUGGUAGUGCUUCUGUUCCUUUAUGCUGAACAACUUCCAUCUCCCCCAGCACCAACAUUUUGGAGCUCAGAAACAAUCGGCUCUAAAAAUUCAUCUCAGGGCAAGAGCAGUUUAAAAGUCUUUUUUUAGCAAGGUUCUUAUCAUGUAUAUAAAGACAGUGGCAGAAGUUACGUGUAUGAACCAAACUGUUCCCGGUACCCUGUGUGCUCCUAACCUGUCUGGGUCUUUCUCCAGUUGUAACCUUGUCAGCUGUGUGAGGUUCUUCAAAGACAUCUGUGCUAUUCUCCGCUCGGCAUGAACACUUAGUGAUUACUUUUUUCUGAGGAGCUCCUUUUGGGGUCUCUGUGUACUUGCACCAUUCUGCAGGCGUUGGUGGGGCGCGGAGACCUCAGUGCAGAGCAGUGCGUUCGCUCCUCCGAGGACCGGAGCUGCAGCAGCUGCAGCCGCACCAGGCUUGGCCCAGGGCUUCCAGGCAACAGAAAACAUUCACAAAAAUAAAAAAUAAUCAUCUGAAAUUGUGAAAGCAAUUGCAUGAGGAAAGAUGCUGUUAGUGAGCCUUACAGCUGUGGGGCAGCAUGGCAGUGCAGAGCUUAUGGCACAUGGCGUCCUGCUCAGGCAGCCCGGCGAGGCUGGAGGUGGUACCUAAGCUGUGCAGAGCUCAGUGAACGUCCUAGUACCUUGGGCUGUACAGUUACACGUGGCAGGAGGAGCUAGGACAGGCGGUCAGCAGUGUGUUAAACUUUAGUGGGAGGAAUAGGCAGAUGUCCUGUACACUGUACACUGUCAUCCGUGUCUCAGAGAAAUCUCUCUGGCUCUUGGUCCGAGUGACCUGCUCUGAGACUGGGAGCCGUGAAGGACUAACUGAUAACCACAAACCAACAAUCACACCGUGGCGGCAGGUCAGCGGCACCAUCCCCCGUUAAGGAGGUGACCCCUCCGCUGAGCAACGUGUCUGUGUGUGCCGGGGCUGCAUCUCGGCAGUUAGGAAAGUCUAAUCCUGGCUUAUGCCUGCACAGUGCUCCUGACAAGGGGGCUCUCGGUGGUGGCUGCUGUUCCUGCUGGUUACUCCCUUAUGACCAUGUUUUACAUUCUUCAAGCCGGUUAAUUUCCAUGCAGUGCUCAUUCCCAAUUUAAAGAGGACAGUAUUCCAGAAAAUGGGCUCUUUUUUUUUCUAAUGCAUACUGUGAAAGAAAAGAAAUACAAUUACCGAUCUUCAUGGUUCUUCAUGGCCGUUCUUGUUUCUUUGCCUUCUUUUCCUCCCCAGAAACAGUAGAAAUCUCUGCACAGAGCAUGACAUCCCCAUAAUGAACCCUUUGUCAAGCAUGAAGCUGGCCACGUAGCAGCCUGGCACUCCCCCUCUCCUCCACAGCGGGCGCCAGCAACACGCCCCGACCCUGCACCUCACUCACAGCUUGGGGACAGCAAGCUCAGCUGAGUAAGGGCACUCAUUAACCGUGCGUUGGCAGCAUCCAAUGAAGCAAUGCGUUUCUCCUGCAAAGAAACAGACAGAGGGAACCGUCAGUGGAAGCACACGGAGACCUGCCUCUGCGCUGCCAUGGGUUGUUGUGAGCUAGCAACCCAUGGGCCUUUGGGACCAGGACCCUUCAGCAGCCCUCUGCUGAUAUAGCAGGUCCACAAAUGGCUUUGCCUGUGUUCUACCCUGCUGCUGCCAGGUGAGCAGACAUCUCUGCAAGCUGCGUGCUCCAGGCUGGCCUGACAGCAGCCACAUCCUG
RNAcentral lists this long non-coding RNA (4048 nucleotides) under Gallus gallus (chicken). Its description in RNAcentral is "long non-coding RNA NONGGAT003169". The record is from RNAcentral. Lineage: Eukaryota; Metazoa; Chordata; Aves; Galliformes; Phasianidae.